This 466-nucleotide ribosomal RNA is filed under the name uncultured bacterium. RNAcentral describes it as "partial 16S ribosomal RNA". It matches the Rfam family "Bacterial small subunit ribosomal RNA", at positions 28 to 507 of the family's 1533-position model. The record is from RNAcentral.
GAUGAACGCUGGCGGCGUGCUUAACACAUGCAAGUCGAACGAUGAAGCUCAGCUUGCUGGGUGGAUUAGUGGCGAACGGGUGAGUAACACGUGAGUAACCUGCCCUUAACUCUGGGAUAAGCCUGGGAAACUAGGUCUAAUACCGGAUAGGAGCGCCUACCGCAUGGUGGGUGUUGGAAAAAUUUAUCGGUUUUGGAUGGACUCGCGGCCUAUCAGCUUGUUGGUGGGGUAAUGGCUCACCAAGGCGACGACGGGUAGCCGGCCUGAGAGGGUGACCGGCCACACUGGGACUGAGACACGGCCCAGACUCCUACGGGAGGCAGCAGUGGGGAAUAUUGCACAAUGGGCGAAAGCCUGAUGCAGCGACGCCGCGUGAGGGAUGACGGCCUUCGGGUUGUAAACCUCUUUCAGUAGGGAAGAAGCGAAAGUGACGGUACCUGCAGAAGAAGCACCGGCUAACUACGUG